GAUGAACGCUGGCGGCGUGCCUAAUACAUGCAAGUCGAGCGAACAGACGAGGAGCUUGCUCCUCUGACGUUAGCGGCGGACGGGUGAGUAACACGUGGAUAACCUACCUAUAAGACUGGGAUAACUUCGGGAAACCGGAGCUAAUACCGGAUAAUAUAUUGAACCGCAUGGUUCAAUAGUGAAAGACGGUUUUGCUGUCACUUAUAGAUGGAUCCGCGCCGCAUUAGCUAGUUGGUAAGGUAACGGCUUACCAAGGCGACGAUGCGUAGCCGACCUGAGAGGGUGAUCGGCCACACUGGAACGGAGACACGGUCCAUGCUCCUACGGGAGGCAGCAGUAGGGAAUCUUCCGCAAUGGGCGAAAGCCUGACGGAGCAACGCCGCGUGAGUGAUGAAGGUCUUCGGAUCGUAAAACUCUGUUAUUAGGGAAGAACAAAUGUGUAAGUAACUAUGCACGUCUUGACGGUACCUAAUCAGAAAGCCACGGCUAACUACGUG
RNAcentral lists this ribosomal RNA (497 nucleotides) under uncultured bacterium. RNAcentral describes it as "partial 16S ribosomal RNA". It matches the Rfam family "Bacterial small subunit ribosomal RNA", at positions 28 to 507 of the family's 1533-position model. The record is from RNAcentral.